AGUCCUUCGCCGUCCCUCGCCGUCCUUCGCCAUCGCACGCCACCGCACCCCAUCUCUCGAAAUCUGCAGACAUCUUGAUUUUUCCCACGCUGUCUGUCAGGUCUCCGCCGCCACUCGACGCCAGGGCGCCGGGUGAGUCCACAGCAGGGCGCAUGGUCGGCUCCACUCUCACCAUCGGGGGAAACUGAGGCCCCGGGGAAGGCGGCCAGAGAGGUCAGGCCCUGUCCUUGGUGCAGUGUCUCGUCCUCUUUGCCGGAGUGAGCCCCCCAGGAUUCGCGUGUCCUCGGGAAAGACACUGGCAGGCCUUGUGGGCUGUGCUGCACCUCGGACGGCUUCGCACCAGCCAGCGCCCUCUCUCUCCUGCAGCACUCUGAUCUGCACCCCCUGAGGGGCUUCCACUGUCCGCGGGGUGAGAAUGCCCCUGGGAGUGUCACAUGACUGCCGCCCCAUGUGUGUGAGAGGCGUCCUCUGGGAGAGCAUGGAUCCUGAGGUCCCAGGAUUGUCAGCUGACCUCUGUCCUGUGUGCCCAGUGGCCCCAGGUGACGUGUCUUCAAGAAGAGGCUGAGCUGCGGUGCUUGUAAGGCAGGGUCUCAUUCUGUCACCCAGGCUGGAGUGCAGUGGUGCAAUGAUGGCUCACUGCAGCCUCGACCUGGGCUCAAGUGAUCCUCCACCUCAGCUUCCUGAGUAGCUGGGACCACAGAGUCAUGUGCUGUUCCUGGGGCUUGGAUGAUGUAGGGGAAGCAAGGUGAAAGUGGUAUCCCGUGGUUCCACGUUCUGUCCUGCUGUGGGGCUGUCCCUCACAUGCUUUCAGUGGCUGUUGCAGAGGAAGAGCCUCCGGAAAUCUGCGUGGGUCUCAGCCUUAGAUCCAAGGACAGUCCAAGGAAGUCCUAAGACCAUGGAGUUGGUGAUCUGGGAUCUGGGUUUGCUGAUAUUUCUCACCGUGAAUCUCUUGGUGGUGUUUGUGGGCACGAGAGGGGCAGAGAAUGGAGAGUGAGGCUACCACAUGAAGCGUCACCAGAGCUGCUCCCUGCUGCCUGCUCAGAGCACCCCGGAUCCACUGUUCAAUCUGCACAAGAUUCGGGGUCCAGACAUGGGAGACUUCAGCUGCCUCAGAGGACCGUGGACAGGGAAGGCCAGCCUCGCAUCCCUCUGUCCAUGCCUGGAAUGACUUUAAUAACCAAGAGUUUUAUUUUUGAAUUUGUAGCUGUCGUUCACUUUUUACCCACCCAUUCAAUAAACCUUACAGAAUUGCUCCA
RNAcentral lists this long non-coding RNA (1256 nucleotides) under Homo sapiens (human). Its description in RNAcentral is "small nucleolar RNA host gene 17, transcript variant 62 (SNHG17)". Lineage: Eukaryota; Metazoa; Chordata; Mammalia; Primates; Hominidae. The record is from RNAcentral.